CAGUAGCCGCGGUAAUACGGAGGAUCCAAGCGUUAUCCGGAUUUAUUGGGUUUAAAGGGUGCGUAGGUGGCCUGUUAAGUCAGGGGUGAAAGACGGUAGCUCAACUAUCGCAGUGCCCUUGAUACUGAUGGGCUUGAAUGAACUAGAGGUAGGCGGAAUGUGACAAGUAGCGGUGAAAUGCAUAGAUAUGUCACAGAACACCAAUUGCGAAGGCAGCUUACUAUGGUUUUAUUGACACUGAGGCACGAAAGCGUGGGGAUCAAACAGGAUUAGAUACCCCAGUAGUCCCUGUCUCUUAUAC
This 301-nucleotide ribosomal RNA is filed under the name uncultured bacterium. RNAcentral's name for it is "partial 16S ribosomal RNA". It matches the Rfam family "Bacterial small subunit ribosomal RNA", at positions 509 to 807 of the family's 1533-position model. The record is from RNAcentral.